This 403-nucleotide ribosomal RNA is filed under the name uncultured bacterium. RNAcentral describes it as "partial 16S ribosomal RNA". It matches the Rfam family "Bacterial small subunit ribosomal RNA", at positions 30 to 526 of the family's 1533-position model. The record is from RNAcentral.
AUCGAACGCUGGCGGCAUGCCUAAUACAUGCAAGUCGAGCGAGCGGCGGACGGGUGCGUAAUGUUUGGGGACCGCCCGCUCGCUGGGGAUCACUACUCGCAACGGUAUCUAAUACCGCAUAUUAUUGGCUUACUCAUAUGGCAUUAGCUAGUAGGUGAGGUAAUGGCUCACCUAGUCGACGAGCACUAGCUGGUCUGAGAGGAUGAUCAGCCACACUGGGACUGAGACACGGCCCAGACUCCUACGGAGGCAGCGGUGGGGAAUAUUGCACAAUGGGCGCAAGCCUGAUGCAGCCAUGCCGCGUGUAUGAAGAAGGCCCUAGGGUUGUAAAGUACUUUCAGUCGGGAGGCGUUACCGACAGAGGAAGCACCGGCUAACUCCGUGCCAGCAGCCGCGGUAAUUC